UACCAGCACCCCGAGUGGUCGGGGCGAUUAUUGGGCCUAAAGCAUCCGUAGCCGGUUCUACAAGUCUUCCGUUAAAUCCACCUGCUUAACAGAUGGGCUGCGGAGGAUACUAUAGAGCUAGGAGGCGGGAGAGGCAAGCGGUACUUAGUGGGUAGGGGUAAAAUCCGUUGAUCCAAUGAAGACCACCAGUGGCGAAGGCGGCUUGCCAGAACGCACUCGACGGUGAGGGAUGAAAGCUGGGGGAGCAAACCGG
This 253-nucleotide ribosomal RNA is filed under the name uncultured bacterium. Its description in RNAcentral is "partial 16S ribosomal RNA". It matches the Rfam family "Archaeal small subunit ribosomal RNA", at positions 474 to 727 of the family's 1478-position model. The record is from RNAcentral.